Small nucleolar RNA from Macadamia integrifolia, 102 nucleotides. RefSeq annotates it as small nucleolar RNA snoR99. The transcript has a single exon. The record is from RefSeq and is a predicted model, not a curated record. NCBI's taxonomy places the organism in Eukaryota, Viridiplantae, Streptophyta, Magnoliopsida, Proteales, Proteaceae.
GAGCCUCUAGGAUGAACUAGUCCCUUAUAUGGAGUCCCCAUCUGCUGUGUCAGCUAUCUCCAUUAUAUUAGUUUUUAGCUGAUCAUUAUGGAUAGGACAUCU